This is a long non-coding RNA of Equus asinus (donkey), 1835 nucleotides long. The record is from Ensembl. Lineage: Eukaryota; Metazoa; Chordata; Mammalia; Perissodactyla; Equidae.
GUGAGUCCCGAUCUGGCGGACCCGGGCGGAAGCGGGUGGGUGCGAGCCGGCCCAGGGAGGCGGGCGCUCAGGGGGCGGGUCCGCCUCCUUCUCAGGUGGGAGGGGGAAGGGCGCCGUGGGCAGUGCCUCGCCCCCUGCUGUCCUUCGCGACGCGGCCCCGGUGUCCUCCUGCGGUCCUCGCGGGUCGGACGAUCUCCGCGCGCAGGAAUUGGGCGCCUGCUGUUUGCCGGGAGUGCGGCCGAUCGCAGGACCCCUGAGAUCUCCCCGAGGAGCUCUGCGGACUCAGGCCUGGGCCAUUCUCCUGGAGGUGCAUGCCGGGACCCAGCAAUGGCCACCAGGACCCUGACGGCCGAGGACCAGGUGCUGCCCUCAACAUCCGGUUUGAUUCAGUCGUUCCAAAUCUGCCGAGUCAGAAUGUUCUAGCUUAAAGUGUGAGGCUCUUGACCCAUGACCUCUCCACCCCCAGACUUCUGACAGAAGGUGCCCCUCCACCGUGUCAAAUUGGCCCUUGCGGGAAUCAGUGACUUUCAAGGACGUGGCCGUGGACUUCACCCUGGAGGAGUGGGGCUGGCUGGGGCCUGGCCAGAGGGAGCUGUACCGGGACGUGAUGCUGGAGACCUACCAGAACCUUCUCUCACGGGGUGACGCCCCGCCCCCUGCCCUCAUCUCUGUUGUGCCCACCCGCUGCUGGACGGUGGGCCUUCCCUGGGGGUCCCCGUGGUGCCCUCUCUGCUCCUCUCGCCGGUCCCUCCCGAGUGGCCUCUGUCUGUGUCUCUGUCUCAGCGUCCCUGAGCCCCGAGUCCCCUGCUCGUCCCCACCAUCUUCCACCUGUGACCCCGCCCUCUUCUCAGGCUCCAAGAGCCCCCGAUGUACCCAGUCAACAGGCUCCAUGUUGGAAUCUUCUCCCCAAAGCGCAUACAUGCUGUUCCCCAAAGGUGUCUCGAGUCCUACACUUGUCCACCCGCCCGCGUCCUGACCCCCCGCGAGGCCCCUCACGUUCCCCACACUCACCCUGCGCUCACGUCUCCACGCUGACCUGCUCCUUCUGCUCCUCUGCUCCCCAUCUCUGGUUGGCUCCGCAUCCCCCAGAUUGGUUGGACCAGAGCCCCGGGCACCAUCCUCAGCCUCCCCUGCCCUCCCUGACAGCCCCCGACUCUCUGUGCCCACAGCCCCGCCCCGCUCAGGCCUUGUCCUCUCCCCGGACCCCCCUCCAGCCUCCUCUUGGGUCUGUCUCCUUCUCGCUCCAUCUCUUCCUUCUCAAUCCCUUUCUCCGGCUCCUCCGUCCCUCCCUUUCCCUGUAAACCACGGCUGUCCCCAAGGCUGCUCCCAGGCUCCGUGAUCCACUGGGAGGACCCACUGGCCUCAGUGUGUCAUCGUCCUCACCCCCGGAUUCAUCACAGCAAAGGGACACGGAGAAGUUGGUAGAGGGAUGGGACGCACGGGGUGAAGUCGGGGAGACCAGGCCUGCUUCCAGAGUCCUCUCCCCGUGGAGUCACACAGGCCGGCCCGAUUUCCCCCACGUGGAGGUGUGACCACACAUGGGAAAUGUCAACCGGGGACACUUGUUAGAGACCCGGCACCCAGGGUUUGACAGGGGCUGGUCCCAUAGGCCCCUCUGCCUGAUUAGGUCUUUGAAAUGGGGUGUGUAUUUCACACUCAACUUGAACAGCUCAGAGUAAGAGCCUUCAACAGGGACGGCAGAUCCGGGGCCUGGGGCCCGGCCCUGAGGCCUCCCUGUGACCAUGGCACCCACAGCCAAGUCUCGUGUCUUUUCCACGGGGAGGGCUUCCCGGGUCCAAACCGGAUAUGAUCUUCCGUCUGGAGCGAGGGGAGGA